GGCUCAGAUGAAACGCUGGCGGCGUGCCUAACACAUGCAAGUCGAGCGGUAACAGGUGUAGCAAUACAUGCUGACGAGCGGCGAACGGGUGAGUAAUGCUUCGGAAUCUACCUUAUGGUGGGGAAUAACUAGUCGAAAGAUUAGCUAAUACCGCAUACGUCCUACGGGAGAAAGCAGGGGAUCGCAAGACCUUGCGCCAAAAGAUGAGCCGAAGUCGGAUUAGCUAGUUGGUAGGGUAACGGCCUACCAAGGCGACGAUCCGUAGCUGGUCUGAGAGGACGACCAGCCACACUGGAACUGAGACACGGUCCAGACUCCUACGGGAGGCAGCAGUGGGGAAUAUUGGACAAUGGGGGAAACCCUGAUCCAGCGACGCCGCGUGUGUGAAGAAGGCCUGCGGGUUGUAAAGCACUUUUAGUGGGGAUGAAAUGUGCAGGGUUAAUACCUCUGUACUUUGACCUAACCCACAGAAAAAGCACCGGCUAACUCUGUGCCAGCAGCCGCGGUAAUACAGAGGGUGCAAGCGUUAAUCGGAAUUACUGGGCGUAAAGCGUGCGUAGACGGUUACAUAAGUCGGGUGUGAAAGCCCCGGGCUCAACCUGGGAAUUGCAUUCGAGACUGCGUAGCUAGGGUGCGGAAGAGGGAAGCGGAAUUUCCGGUGUAGCGGUGAAAUGCGUAGAUAUCGGAAGGAACACCAGUGGCGAAAGCGGCUUCCUGGUCCAGCACCGACGUUCAGGCACGAAAGCGUGGGGAGCAAACAGGAUUAGAUACCCUGGUAGUCCACGCCAUAAACGAUGAGAACUAGACGUUGAAGGGGUAAGCCCUCCAGUGUCGUAGCUAACGCGCUAAGUUCUCCGCCUGGGGAGUACGGCCGNCAGGGUGAAACUC
This 888-nucleotide ribosomal RNA is filed under the name uncultured bacterium. RNAcentral describes it as "bacterial SSU rRNA". It matches the Rfam family "Bacterial small subunit ribosomal RNA", at positions 21 to 902 of the family's 1533-position model. The record is from RNAcentral.